UGUGUAGGCGGGACUGUAAGUCAGAGGUGAAAUCCCACAGCUUAACUGUGGAACUGCCUUUGAUACUGCAGUUCUUGAAUAUCGGAGGGGUAGCUGGAAUUCGUGGUGUAGCGGUGAAAUGCGUAGAUAUCACGAGGAACACCAGAGGCGUAGGCGGGCUACUGGACGAUUAUUGACGCUAAGGCACGAAAGCGUGGGGAGCAAACAGGAUUAGAUACCCUGGUAGUCC
RNAcentral lists this ribosomal RNA (229 nucleotides) under uncultured bacterium. RNAcentral describes it as "partial 16S ribosomal RNA". It matches the Rfam family "Bacterial small subunit ribosomal RNA", at positions 568 to 796 of the family's 1533-position model. The record is from RNAcentral.